AAAUAAUUUGGAUUCAAAGAUUCACCAUAACAACCUUCUCAACAACAUUCUUGCAAAGAUAGAAGGUAAUAAUGCUGGGGCUGAUGAUGCAAUCAUGCUCGAUAAAGAUGGCUAUGUGUCAGAAACUAAUGCUACAAAUAUAUUCUUGGUGAAGAAAGGGCGUGUGGUGACACCUCAUGCUGAUUAUUGCCUUCCUGGCAUAACUAGAGCAACAGUCAUGGAGCUUGUGCUGAAGGAAAGUUUAGCUUUAGAGGAGCGAAGAAUUAGCUUAUCAGAAUUUCACACUGCUGAUGAGGUGUGGACAACAGGAACUAUGGGGGAGCUGAGCCCGGUUGUCAAAAUUGAUGGACGUAUAGUUGGUGAUGGUCGAGUAGGACCUAUAACUCUGAGAUUGCAAAAUGCUUACAAGAAUCUCUCAAAAGAUUCAGGAGUGCCCAUACCAACUUAUGAGAAGAGCUAAAUACGUAGUUUCCAGGUGUAUCAAAACAACAGAGCUGGAGAAGGGUUGUUCUUCUAUCUAGACAAAAAAAAAAUUAAAAAAAAUUCGUGUAAUAAUGUGGGUGGGAGGGCUUGUUUUCAUAUCUCCUAGAGGAAUAUCACAUUGGAGAGUCUCUCCGCGAUUUAUCAACGUUCAAUUUCAUGGUGUUAGCUUAUUUAUUCAGUCUCAAAUUACCUGAGGGUCCAUGAAUUUUCACUAGGACAUCAUUUUUUUGUUCAUUUAAUUAAAU
Molecule: unclassified non-coding RNA, 728 nt
Filed under: Hevea brasiliensis (rubber tree)
Lineage: Eukaryota; Viridiplantae; Streptophyta; Magnoliopsida; Malpighiales; Euphorbiaceae
Source: RNAcentral